AUCUUCAAGAGGUUCCUUUUCUUCUUUGUCUUGUUCAUCAGCAGGCAAAAGAGGAAGUUUUGUAGGUAGUAAUCAUAAUAGUAGGCUUCCUCCAAUUCCUGCGCAAAAGCACUUUUGAUCUGUAAAAACUUGUACAUUGAGAACAAUAUUUGAUGUGGUUAUGAUGAGUGAGAAAUUUUAUUAACAAGUUGGUGAGACAUACAGAGCUUAUACUAGCUAUAAAUCCCAUUAUGCAAGUGGAAGGUGAGAGGAUAAACUACUUUUAAUGGAGUUAAAAUCUUGAACAUAUCCCAGCAAUCUAAAAGCUGGAAUAUUGAUUGUUAUCAUUUAUCCACUCUUUUGACUUCCAAUUAAAAGGAAAAGAAAAUAAACAACUUUUAAUGGAGUUAAAAUCUUGAACAUAUCCUAGCAAUCUAAAAGCUGGAAUAUUGAUUGUUAUCAUUUAUCCACUCUUUUGACUUCCAAUUAAAAGGAAAAGAAAAUAAACUACUUUUAAUGGAAUUAAAAUCUUGAACAUAUCCCAGCAAUCUAAAAGCUGGAAUAUUGAUUGUUAUCAUUUAUCCACUCUUUUGAUUUCCAAUUAAAAGGAAAAGAAAAUAAUACACUCAUCAUGUGCGCAUGUUACAGAAUUUGUUGACAUGGUUUGAUGCUCUCCAUGAUGUGUUUUAAUGUAGUGGAAUGGUUCAAAGUUCACAAUAGUAGUAAUUUCAUUUCUGUUUCUCUUCUUUCAAACUCUGAAGCUCAAGUGAAUGUUAACACUUCACGGAAGGAAAGAUCUUGAAAUAAUAGACAAACAGUAAGCCAUCCAAAAAGUGCUUCAAGAUUUAGGAAUAAGCACCUGAAGAAAAGCUGACAACUUUUGGUUAUUACAGAUGUAUGGAGCAAAUCUCAGAAAAGCAUUCCCCAAAACCAUGUUCUUGCUUCGGAUUGCACCUGAAACUGGGUUCUAUCUUUUCAACAACACGUGAAACUGAGGCCUUUUUCUUCCCCCCACUUUGUCUCAAUAUUUUAAGCAAUUUUUUAUGUCUUUACAUAACAUUAUCUUUUAGCUGCAUCCAUUUAGGAUUUAAUCUCAUAAAAUAAUAUAUCCAACUCUUUCUUGAA
RNAcentral lists this long non-coding RNA (1104 nucleotides) under Citrus x clementina. RNAcentral describes it as "Citrus clementina (C. clementina) long non-coding RNA (CCLE_LNC001369)". The record is from RNAcentral. Lineage: Eukaryota; Viridiplantae; Streptophyta; Magnoliopsida; Sapindales; Rutaceae.